AUCGUGGUGGAGAGGUUUGCGUGUCCCUAUGAACCUGAGAGCUAUGUUGUCUGGAGCAUAGUGCUCCUGGUAGGGUCUCCCUUGGCAAACAGGUCUCGGGGGAGGGAUCAGACUAAGAAUGGUUCAGCCACUGCCUUGUGGCCUGGGAGGGAGAAGGCUAAGGGAACCUUAGUGUCUUGGAGUGACUAAUGAGAACGGAGAACCACUGUGCCAACCACAAUCUCAUCAUUGGUGGAACCAUGCUACAAACCAUGCUACCAGGCCACUUGGACUUCUCCUGACAUGAAGACAGAAAGCCAGGUAAAUCAUUUCUGUAUCUCUUAUAACCGGUUCAACCCACUUUUGGUGCUUUUACAUCGCUCCACCCUGCUCUCUCAAAUGGAUGCCGAUAAUUGAACAAAUCACUGUGUCCUGCACAGUACCCGAUGUUUGCCGCCGAAUCUCUUCUUCUCCUCGGAUGUAGAACAGCUUGCAGGUGUCAUGGUCUUGCCAGUGCGCUGCCAUGAUCAAUAGAAAACUGUGCCAUAUUGCUACACAAGCUGUAUAUAAACACAGUUGCACAUGCAUUCCCCUACCGGUGCAAUUUCUCCAACGUUGAGGAGGGCUAUGCACUUUCAUUCACGAUCGUUAACACAUUUGAUUUGUUUGAUUGGCUAAAAUGGAUAAAAAUCUCUGCCCUUCAGAGACUGGUCUCGGGGAAAUCAACAGGACGACCGGUCUUAUGGGAGUAGACCAAGGACAAUAGAACACCACUGACAGCAAGUGCAUUUACACAGGCUCGAGAAGAGGAAACAGGAGUGGCUAUCAGCUAACAUCAUGAUCAGAAUAGAGGAAAGGGAAAAACUAAAGAAUGUAGUAAACAACAGUAAAACAAGAUCUGCUAAGAAAACAGCAGGGGAGGCAUACAGUAGAGAAGAUGAUAAAAAAAGAGAGAAAAGAGAAAUUUAGUGGCUGAGAUUACAAAAGAAGCAGAGGAAGUGGCAAGGCAAAACGACAUCAAAGCUUUCUACAACAACAUCUGACUCCUGACCGAAAAAUACCAGAAAGGGAACCACUCCGUUAAAGAUAGGGAAGAAAGGACACCGAAUGCGUUUACAUGCACGUGAAAAAAAACCAAAACAAUGCAUCUGGUUGUUGUUCAAAAUGUCGGUUUGCCGCAUGAACGAGUCUUGUUUAUUGUAUGACGUAAUAGGUCAACUGUAAAGGGGGCCUUAUUAACGUGGUAUUAACCCGUGGAAAACACACAUAAUGCCACUUACUGUGGAGGAGGAGGACAUGUUCCCUUUAGUUAUUCGAUUUUCUCCGCUGCAUGUAACUGGGACAAGGACUCGACAAGGACUCGAAUUUCGAGCAUAGCUCGAUUAAGCUGUGCAUGUAAACACACUGACUGAAAACGCAAGUAGAACAAAUGAAGAGGUGGACUGAGCACUUAUCGCAACUACUGAACCCACCGUCUUCAGCAAUGACGGUAAAUAUGCAAUCUGCGGAAGUCUCCCUGUCAAUUGACUGCAGGCAGCCAUCAAAAAGAGAGAUUAACAAGCCAUUAUCUGACAAUUACUGGGGAAUAAUGCUAUUCUCUGUACCAGACAACAUAAAUUGCAACCCAGCUAAUCAUCCUAAAACAAUCACAAGAGUGUAGGUCACUGCUAUAUACAGUACUUCUGGACUUUGGUGAAGCAUUCGAUAGUCUGAAUAGGGAAGUGCUCUAGCAACUCCUUAGACACUACGGCAUACCUAAGAAGUUCACCACCAUCAUCAAGAACAUCUGUUCUCGAAUGCAGUGUAGAAUCAUACAUGAAGGCCAGCUGACAAAGACAAAGUCAACAGGAGUUAGGCAAGGCUGCUCCUUCUAGCGGUAGACUGAACCAGGAGGUAAGUUACUAACAAUAGGCCAAACGGGAUCCAGUGGACUCUGCUUACACAACUGGAUGACUUUGACUUAGUACAUCUCUACGGAUCUCGGAUAUGCAAAACAACAAAGAAUCUCUUGAGGUUUUCAACAAGCACAACAUCAGAUGGCCUGACAAAAUAAAGAACAAAUACCUGUGAGAACGAACGAAACAACCCGCAGUAGAAGCGGAGAUAAAGAAACAAAAAUGGAGAUGGAUUGGGCAGACAUUGCGUAAACCGAAGAAUUCCAUCGAAUGCCAAGCCUUGCAGUGGACCUCGCAGGAUUAACGUGGUAGAGGCAAGACAAGAAAAACGUGGAGGAGGAGUGUCACGGCCGAGAUGGAAAGAGCAGGACACAGAUGGCAAGACCUGGAGAGGAUGGCACAGAACAAGACGAGGUGGAGAAAUAUCAUCAGUGACCUAUGAUCCUUCAAGGAGUAAAAGGUGACACCGGGGAAAGAAGUAAUAAUAUGUACGUGGGCUGGAGUGAGGAUGAAGUGGUUCAAAUGAAGGAAGAGUCAACAGGGCCCGUGAAACAGAUGUCCCACGUAGCCACUCGUGCCUACUGAUGUGCUUGGAUGCGAAAGAGCAAAAGUGAAGGUGGAGAAGAAACACGAGAGGUCUAAUCAGCAUUUUAUCAGCGCAACAGAGGAAGAAAAAGCAGAAGUAUCCUUUAAAUUCCUGUGGGUAAGUGUGCGUUUCCAUUAUUCUACCAAGUUACACAAACCCUUAAUUUCACCCAUAACCCAUUACAUAAUACCUGCUAUACUUGAUGAGGGAACCGAGAUUUAAACAUCAGCAGCCAUGUCACAUCUGCAAGCUACUUCACAGGCUCCCGGCCCCUCGAAAUAAGAUUGAUAAAGUGGAAGUGGAAUUCCUUUUUGAUGAGACAUCUAAACUCCAAACAGCGCUGUGACCACAAGGAACAUGGAUAAAAGCUGCAGAUCAUUUUUCUUCUGGACAUGUUGCAGCAGAGAGCGAAGACUUGCGUGGCUUCUCGCUAUUGUGGCCGUAACUCUCUCCAGACUGUUAAAAAGAAAAAAAAAGAGAAAAGCCGAAGGCCAGCCAAACUGUGGGUUCGCACACACACACACACACACACAUUCCUGUCUACCUCUCUCUCAGGUUAAUGAUGUGUGACCGCUCUGACAGGAGAGACCUGCUCAGAAAACCCACCGAAGAGCAGGUUACACCCUUCGUGUUUCCAGAGAAACCUCCCACGGGCAUGGAUCCAGGAUUACCUCGAAUCUGUCUUCAUGUCUGAUGGCGACAGCCCUGCGUAUGCGUUUGUGUUUGUGCGCCAGUCCUUGUGUGUUACGGGUCUGGGUUUUCAGUGGCUUAUGGAAAUGUUCUCCCACCUACGAUACCACAUCUGUUCCCCUGGUACCACUCCCAUCCUUCCCUCUGAUCUGUGUCCAGAUGACAUUCCUGCCUAGCGAGCCUCAUCACGGUCCCAUGAUGAAUCAGGCGGCCCAAUUUACAUAAUAAAGUGCUGGAGAUGGGGACGCAGAAAGGAAGGGAAACCCAAAUGAACUCUCGACGCCUGUCUGAACUCUGUGUGAUGCCUUUUGUUUUUUUCGGGGGGUGAAAAAGCCACAUUUGCUAUUCAUUUCAUUAAAGUGUGUGACAUUUGUUUUUA
Mugil cephalus (flathead mullet) is the source of this 3529-nucleotide long non-coding RNA. RefSeq lists it as uncharacterized. The record is from RefSeq and is a predicted model, not a curated record. Lineage: Eukaryota; Metazoa; Chordata; Actinopteri; Mugiliformes; Mugilidae. The transcript has 4 exons.